RNAcentral lists this ribosomal RNA (480 nucleotides) under Phaeobacter sp. RNAcentral describes it as "bacterial SSU rRNA". It matches the Rfam family "Bacterial small subunit ribosomal RNA", at positions 1006 to 1506 of the family's 1533-position model. The record is from RNAcentral. Lineage: Bacteria; Pseudomonadati; Pseudomonadota; Alphaproteobacteria; Rhodobacterales; Roseobacteraceae.
GAUCUGUUUCCACUUCGGUGGCCGAGUGACAGGUGCUGCAUGGCUGUCGUCAGCUCGUGUCGUGAGAUGUUCGGUUAAGUCCGGCAACGAGCGCAACCCACAUCCUUAGUUGCCAGCAGUUCGGCUGGGCACUCUAGGGAAACUGCCCGUGAUAAGCGGGAGGAAGGUGUGGAUGACGUCAAGUCCUCAUGGCCCUUACGGGUUGGGCUACACACGUGCUACAAUGGCAGUGACAAUGGGUUUAUCCCAAAAAACUGUCUCAGUUCGGAUUGGGGUCUGCAACUCGACCCCAUGAAGUCGGAAUCGCUAGUAAUCGCGUAACAGCAUGACGCGGUGAAUACGUUCCCGGGCCUUGUACACACCGCCCGUCACACCAUGGGAGUUGGGUUUACCCGAAGGCCGUGCGCCAACCAGCAAUGGGGGCAGCGGACCACGGUGAGCUCAGCGACUGGGGUGAAGUCGUAACAAGGUAACCGUAAA